UAGUAACAAUACUCCUUCAUCAACUGAUAACAACACUGUGCAAUCCUGCACUCUCAAAAGACCGUUCAAAACUCAAAAAAUUCCAUCCAACACCAGGAAUAACAGACUUCACUCCAACCAAUCUGGAUUCACAAAAUUUCUGUAAUCACAGACUUCCUUUGUCCAAAACACACACAACUCUCAAUAAACAACAAUCAUAAUCUUCCAUCCAUAAUCAAUCUUUCAAUAACUUCUUAUAUAAUUCAAUCACAUAAUACUCCAAUUACAUAAUGAAUAACUUUUAAAUCAAUCUCUAAUUUAUUCCCAGACUCACUUCUCAGUAUUCAAAAACUAUCCAUUAUUCUUCAACAACAAAGAAAACAAAGAAAAUAAAGAGGUAGCACCAAACUUAACCCCAGCUAAUGACUAUCAUAGUCUAGCAUCCCAACAAACUUCUAUAUUUCCUAUAUAAUUGCUAUUGAUUUUGAGAUCCUAACCAUAAUCUUAUAAUUAACUACUUUUAAUAACUAAAUCAACCAUCUGUCCUCUUGAACUGACUAUUCUAUAUACUAUUAAUCUAUUUUAUCAAUAUCUUACAAAAAAAUCUAAUAUCUAUUCUAC
Molecule: long non-coding RNA, 600 nt
Filed under: Physcomitrium patens
Lineage: Eukaryota; Viridiplantae; Streptophyta; Bryopsida; Funariales; Funariaceae
Description: long non-coding RNA (PPAT_LNC011844)
Source: RNAcentral